AUUGAACGCUGGCGGCAUGCUUUACACAUGCAAGUCGAACGGCAGCGCGGGCUUCGGCCUGGCGGCGAGUGGCGAACGGGUGAGUAAUAUAUCGGAACGUACCCAAGAGUGGGGGAUAACGUAGCGAAAGUUACGCUAAUACCGCAUACGAUCCAAGGAUGAAAGCAGGGGACCUUCGGGCCUUGUGCUCCUGGAGCGGCCGAUAUCUGAUUAGCUAGUUGGUGAGGUAAAGGCUCACCAAGGCAACGAUCAGUAGCUGGUCUGAGAGGACGACCAGCCACACUGGAACUGAGACACGGUCCAGACUCCUACGGGAGGCAGCAGUGGGGAAUUUUGGACAAUGGGGGCAACCCUGAUCCAGCAAUGCCGCGUGAGUGAAGAAGGCCUCCGGGUUGUAAAGCUCUUUUGUCAGGGAAGAAAAGGGAGUGGCUAAUAUCCAUUCCUGCUGACGGUACCUGAAGAAUAAGCACCGGCUAACUACGUGCCAGCAGCCGCGGUAA
This 500-nucleotide ribosomal RNA is filed under the name uncultured bacterium. RNAcentral's name for it is "partial 16S ribosomal RNA". It matches the Rfam family "Bacterial small subunit ribosomal RNA", at positions 30 to 523 of the family's 1533-position model. The record is from RNAcentral.